UAGCAGAGUUACAGAAUAUGAGGUUUGGGGUAUUUCAUCCUGCUGUUUUCAGUGCAAGCUGGGUUCUGUGUAGAGCUGAUCCACAAAGGGUUUUUUUUUCUGGAGACCAAAAUCUUUUUGCUAAAAUCUUAAUAUUUUGACUCAGAAAUACCACGGAUGUGCCUCUGAUACCACACACCACCAAUCUCUUCCAUGGGCCAGUCUCCCAGGCUGGACUACAUCCCCCAUUAUGCAUGAUGGUCUCUCCUCUUGCUGAAAUUCUCUGGAAGAUCACCAGAGUCCCACAGCCAUGGUUUAGGGAGGAGGGGAGUUUGGUAUUUUGAUGGAAAGCUUAUAAUUUCCAGGGAAAAGAUAAUUUCUUGGAAAAAAUAGUUAAAUGGAAAAU
Molecule: long non-coding RNA, 385 nt
Organism: Dermochelys coriacea (leatherback sea turtle)
Lineage: Eukaryota; Metazoa; Chordata; Testudines; Dermochelyidae
Exons: 2
Source: RefSeq, a predicted model, not a curated record